Molecule: ribosomal RNA, 460 nt
Filed under: uncultured Capnocytophaga sp.
Lineage: Bacteria; Pseudomonadati; Bacteroidota; Flavobacteriia; Flavobacteriales; Flavobacteriaceae
Description: bacterial SSU rRNA
Rfam family: Bacterial small subunit ribosomal RNA
Source: RNAcentral
CCUACGGGUGGCAGCAGUGAGGAAUAUUGGUCAAUGGUCGGAAGACUGAACCAGCCAUGCCGCGUGCAGGAUGACGGCCUUAUGGGUUGUACACUGCUUUUGUAUGGGAAGAAUAAGGGGUACGUGUACUCUGAUGACGGUACUAUAUGAAUAAGCAUCGGCUAACUCCGUGCCAGCAGCCGCGUUAAUACGGAGGAUGCGAGCGUUAUCCGGAAUCAUUGGGUUUAAAGGGUCUGUAGGCGGGCUAUUAAGUCAGAGGUGAAAGCACUGAGCUCAACUGAGUAACUGCCUUUGAAACUGAUAGUCUUGAAUACUUACGAAGUAGUUGGAAUGUGUAGUGUAGCGGUGAAAUGCUUAGAUAUUACACAGAACACCGAUAGCGAAGGCAUGUUACUAGUAAGUGAUUGACGCUGAGGGACGAAAGCGUGGGGAGCGAACAGGAUUAGAUACCCGAGUAGUC